Long non-coding RNA from Lolium rigidum, 579 nucleotides. RefSeq lists it as uncharacterized. The record is from RefSeq and is a predicted model, not a curated record. The transcript has 3 exons. Lineage: Eukaryota; Viridiplantae; Streptophyta; Magnoliopsida; Poales; Poaceae.
UGCAGAGUAGGGGCUCAGGGUAAGCUUCUCAUCUCGGUAAAAAAAGGGGUAAGCUUCUCAUUUUCCAUGUAUACAAGGAGAACAAGGUAGAUUCUAAAGAUUGAGAGAUAAAUUGUAUUCUAUGUCUUGUUUUACGGGUGUGAGUCACGGAGUCUGAGGCUUAUACAUGAUCUGCCUCUGAUCCUCCAGUGGCAAUGAUAUAAAGCAAUAAUAGCCGAGGCUAAACAACGGAUCGAGUCUGAUGCAUGAAUUCCAUCAUGGGAAGAGAGAUUUCGAGCAUGCCGUUGAAUAGCAGACUUGCAGAAAACACGGGCUGAUAGCAGCGAGUGACACAUGUGACUGCAAAACAUGUCGUGUGAUCUAUACACGAAUUGUUAGUCCAUGUACGAACCAACAUCAAAGAGCAAAAUCAAUAUGAAACAGAAGUGUGCUGUGAAACGAUAAUUUAUGUUGUUGCCCUUGGGCCUUGGCGAAAGUGGUUUGAAAUUUGAAAUCAUGAUUAAUAUAGUAUUUUCUUUCAUAUAUCACCAAAAAAUUAUAUGCACUAUAUUUACACGGGCGUUGAACAAAAUAACUUAA